GGGCCGUUAGCUCAGUUGGUAGAGCAGUUGACUCUUAAUCAAUAGGUCCAAGGUUCGAAUCCUUGACGGCCCA
This is a transfer RNA of Xanthomonas albilineans GPE PC73, 73 nucleotides long. It matches the Rfam family "tRNA". Rfam says of the family: Transfer RNA (tRNA) molecules are approximately 80 nucleotides in length. Their secondary structure includes four short double-helical elements and three loops (D, anti-codon, and T loops). The record is from Rfam. Lineage: Bacteria; Pseudomonadati; Pseudomonadota; Gammaproteobacteria; Lysobacterales; Lysobacteraceae.